This is a long non-coding RNA of Manihot esculenta (cassava), 1363 nucleotides long. RefSeq lists it as uncharacterized. NCBI's taxonomy places the organism in Eukaryota, Viridiplantae, Streptophyta, Magnoliopsida, Malpighiales, Euphorbiaceae. The record is from RefSeq and is a predicted model, not a curated record. The transcript is spliced from 2 exons.
ACUAUAGCAGAAGAGAUUUAAUUAUUUUAUUUUUAUUAUUUUAUUUUAUUUUCUAGAAAUACCAAAUACUAUGAACUAUUGUUGCGUAAGAAUUGGCUACAAUAAUAAUAUUUUUAAUAAAUUAACCAAAAAUCAUAUGAUUAAUAAUAUUAUAAGUAGAGAAAAUCAAGAUUCUUCUUCGUCUUGCUUCUGCUCUCUCUCAAAUUCCCUGUUCCUUCUCUCUUUCCCUUUCUUUCUCUCCGUUACUUUACUUCCAAAUACUCCUCUCACAUCGUAAUAGAUGAUUUUGAAAAGGGAUUGAAGGAUGAUAGUCGAUGAAGCUUUGAUAUGAUACUUUAUAAAAUUUUAGAAUCCUUGUCAACUUAUUUCUAAGAUGAUCAAGGAUCAUUGAGAAGAAUUAUGGAAUCCAAAGGAAAGAUCAACCAGAUUCGGGGAGCAACUGCACAUAAAAAUCAAAAUGGAAAUCUCUUGGGUGUUGAAGAAAGAAGUGUACUUGAAUUAGAAUUGGAGAAUUACGAACUCGUUGCUGUGAAAGCUGAAAAACCUUCAAUCGAUCUGAAAUCCUCAAUUCAUCAUAAUAAUGGAUCACUAAACUUGCACUAAUGUUUGAUCAAUAUGCCUCCAUAAGCACAAGCAAAACUCUAAAUGAGGGGCUAGGUGAAGAAUUAGACAAGAAAUCUACGGGCAAUGAUCAAUGAAUAAGGAAUCUUGGAAUCAAAUGAAAAAUCAGAUGAUAAAGAUGAAGAAGGUGACAAAGAUGAGGAAGAUGCGACAUUUAACGACGAAGAUAAGGAAGCAUAUGACAAAAAUAAAGAAGAUGAUGACAUAUAUGAGGAAAAUAAGGCAUUUGAUUAUGAAGAUGACAAAGCAGACUAUAAAGAUGAUGAGGAAGAAGAGGCCAAAGACAAACAAGAUGAUGAAAAUGAGGCAUCUAAUGAUGAAGAUAUGGAAGAUGAGGAAGCAGAUGGAGAAGAUGGAGAAAAAGAUGACAAAGAUAAGAAAGAUGAAGAUGAUGAAGCAUAUGGCAAAGAUGAAGAAAAUAGCUCAUUGAUGAUAAGCUAGGAGAACUAAGCUUGGCAACUGUUACCACUUCUCUUGGGCAAAAAUCUCUUUUGAGUUCCUAAUAGCAUUGUUCUUGUCUUGAAAUCCAUAAUAUGUGAAGUGUGUCUUCUUACAUGUGAUGUUGCUUUACAAUUUUAUUGUGAAGUUAUUUAUUCUAGAUGGAAGCUUCUAGCUUAGCUCAAGUUGUUAGUAGUUAGUUUCUUGUUUUCCUGCCUAUAACUUUCUGUAUAGACUAAUUCUAUAUAUAAACAAGUGGUAUCAAACUAAGUAAUACAAUUUCCAAUUUCCUUUUCUUCUAUCA